CCUACGGGAGGCAGCAGUGAGGAAUAUUGGUCAAUGGGCGAGAGCCUGAACCAGCCAAGUCGCGUGAAGGAUGACGGCCCUACGGGUUGUAAACUUCUUUUGUCAGGGAGCAAUUGAGUCCACGUGUGGGCUUAGCGAGAGUACCUGAAGAAAAGGCAUCGGCUAACUCCGUGCCAGCAGCCGCGGUAAUACGGGGGAUGCGAGCGUUAUCCGGAUUUAUGGGGUUUAAAGGGUGCGUAGGCGGAAGAUCAAGUCAGCGGUAAAAAUUCGGGGCUAAACCCCGUCGUGCCGUUGAAACUGAUGUUCUUGAGUGGGCGAGAAGUAUGCGGAAUGCGUGGUGUAGCGGUGAAAUGCAUAGAGAUCACGCAGAACUCCGAUUGCGAAGGCAGCAUACCGGCGCCCAACUGACGCUGAAGCACGAAAGCGUGGGUAUCGAACAGGAUUAGAUACCCCUGUAGUC
RNAcentral lists this ribosomal RNA (460 nucleotides) under uncultured bacterium. RNAcentral describes it as "partial 16S ribosomal RNA". It matches the Rfam family "Bacterial small subunit ribosomal RNA", at positions 338 to 795 of the family's 1533-position model. The record is from RNAcentral.